UGGGGAAUUUUCCGCAACGGCGAAAGCCUGACGGAGCAAUGCCGCGUGGAGGUGGAAGGCCUACGGGUCGUCAACUUCUUUUCUCGGAGAAGAAACAAUGACGGUAUCUGAGGAAUAAGCAUCGGCUAACUCCGUGCCAA
RNAcentral lists this ribosomal RNA (140 nucleotides) under uncultured bacterium. RNAcentral's name for it is "partial 16S rRNA". It matches the Rfam family "Bacterial small subunit ribosomal RNA", at positions 355 to 511 of the family's 1533-position model. The record is from RNAcentral.